GUAAGGCAAAUAGAAAUUUAUGAUGGGUUAUUUGGUCGGAUUUUAUGGAUUAUAGCAGAUGAAUGAUGGUGUUUUUUUGUUUUUAUUCUCUUUUUUUUUCUAAUGUGGAGGAAAAAACAGUGAAAACUGUGGUAUAAUUAAUCGGUGGUUCAUUUGCGUUGCUUUUUAGUUUUUACGUUUAUGGUUAGCAAGUCAUUCGAAUUGCAUUGUUUUAUUAGAUUGACAUACACACGUAUGCAUAUGUAAAUUGAUAUGCCGAUC
RNAcentral lists this long non-coding RNA (261 nucleotides) under Capsella rubella. RNAcentral's name for it is "long non-coding RNA (CRUB_LNC004403)". Lineage: Eukaryota; Viridiplantae; Streptophyta; Magnoliopsida; Brassicales; Brassicaceae. The record is from RNAcentral.